This 1498-nucleotide long non-coding RNA is filed under the name Nicotiana tabacum (common tobacco). RNAcentral describes it as "long non-coding RNA (NTAB_LNC016310)". Lineage: Eukaryota; Viridiplantae; Streptophyta; Magnoliopsida; Solanales; Solanaceae. The record is from RNAcentral.
UGAAAGUAAGGAAAAACGGAAAAAAGAAAAGAUAAGGAGGGGCUAGUUUCUUUGGGGAAAGGGACACGAAAAAGGCACCUAAAAAAAAGAAGAGGAAGGAAACAAAAAUGAAAGAUACGAAAACAACAAAAAGAAAGAGAGCUUGAAAUCUCACAAUCACUCAUCUUCCUCAUAUUCCUUUUGAACAUAAACAAUGGCUAUAUUCUAUCCAAAUUCAGCUAGAUUGAAAUUAAUCUAUCAAAGCAACGUAAUGGAAAUCGAUUUCGUCGGUUGAGUUGAUGUCGAGUGAUUGAGGCUGAGAUCUGGUGCGUAGUAACCUGUGCUUUGUUCGAAUUCGAGGUGCAAUCACAUUCAAGGAAAAAUAAUAUAAUACAAACGACUUUUUCUUUUUCUACCUUGCUUCAAUUUUUACUUCGUAUAUCAUAAAUUAGUGGUUUAUUUGUUAUGUUUCAUCACGUUUUGAUAAUUUUAUUUAUUUAUUUAUUUUGCUUAAUUUGUGCUUGUUGUGUAGAAUAAAAAUAAUAACGAUUUUUGACUUUUUCUUUAUGUUUUUUUUUGGGUUUCGUAAGUGUGAUAUGUACUGAAAUUCUUUCUCCUCUAUAUAAUGUUCAGUUCAUUUCUGUAUCAGCCUUCCUAUUUAGCUGCUUUGGUAUUUUGCACUAAUUCUUUUUUCAUCACGAGUUUGAUUAGUUUAAUAAGAUCAUAAAUUGGACGAUAGUUUUGGUUAUUAAAAAGGUGAAGAUGAAACUGUUUUGGGGUUCUUCUCUUCGUCUCUGAUUUCUCAUUAUCACUGUGUAUGUGCUUUAUUGGAUUUUGUUUUGUUAUUUUUUUUAGCUGACCUUUAUUGAUUCCACAUAGUCUUCUGUUGGGCUUAGUUUCCAAUUAUUUUCCAUAGUCCUCCGUCUUGGUUUUAUUACAAGUUUAAUACAUGGUUUAAAUAUGAAAAUUUCUUAGAAAUUUGGGAUUUUGGGAGAAAAUAUAGAAUUUGGUAUUUUUGGAUUUUGACCACGAAAUUGGAUAUGGAAUUAAGAAUAAAUUAUAUAUUUGAGUUCGUGGUGUUAUGGAUAAAGUUUAUCUUCGAAAAUUUUCGAAAUUCGGGCGUGUGGGUCCGAGGGUUGACUUUAUUGGCUUUUGAGCGAAGCUGAGAAUCAUUAUAAAUUAUUAAAUUAUAUGUAUUGGGGUAUAUUUUGAUUGGUUUGUACGCUGUUUGACUAGUUUUGAAGAGACGAGCAUCGGGUUGAGGUGUUUGAGUGGUGUUGGAGCCAGUUAUGAAAUUUCGAAGCGAGGUAAGUCUCUUGUCUAAUCUUGUGAGGGGGAAUUUAUCCCAUAGGUAAUUAAAGUAAUAAUUAUUGCUAAUUGUGGGGGCUACGUAUGCACGAGGUGACGGGAGUCCGUACGUAGCUACUAUUAAUGCUAAAGUCCGAGUAGUUUAGGACACAAAACAUGAAUUACUUGUGCAAAUUGAGCAUAUGAUAUUUUCAUCUUUUAAUAUAUAUAU